RNAcentral lists this ribosomal RNA (568 nucleotides) under Papiliotrema rajasthanensis. Its description in RNAcentral is "eukaryotic LSU rRNA". It matches the Rfam family "Eukaryotic large subunit ribosomal RNA", at positions 98 to 655 of the family's 3401-position model. Lineage: Eukaryota; Fungi; Basidiomycota; Tremellomycetes; Tremellales; Rhynchogastremaceae. The record is from RNAcentral.
CCGGGAAGAGCUCAAAUUUGAAAUCUGGCGUCCUCAGGGCGUCCGAGUUGUAAUCUAUAGAGGCGUUUUCCGUGCCGGACCGUGUCCAAGUUCCUUGGAACAGGAUAUCAAAGAGGGUGACAAUCCCGUACUUGACACGAUGACCGGUGCUCUGUGAUACGUCUUCUACGAGUCGAGUUGUUUGGGAAUGCAGCUCAAAAUGGGUGGUGAGUUCCAUCUAAAGCUAAAUAUUGGCGAGAGACCGAUAGCGAACAAGUACCGUGAGGGAAAGAUGAAAAGCACUUUGGAAAGAGAGUUAAACAGUACGUGAAAUUGUUGAAAGGGAAACGAUUGAAGUCAGUCGUGACUGANAGGCUCAGCCGGUUCUGCCGGUGUAUUCCCCUCAGUCGGGUCAACAUCAGUUUUGUCCGGUGGAAAAGGGCGGUAGGAACGUGGCACCUCCGGGUGUGUUAUAGCCUGCCGUCGCAUACAUCGGGUGAGACUGAGGAAUGCAGCUCGCCUUUAUGGCCGGGGUUCGCCCACGUCCGAGCUUAGGAUGUUGACAUAAUGGCUUUAAACGACCCGUCUU